GACGAACGCUGGCGGCGUGCCUAAUACAUGCAAGUAGAACGCACAGUUUAUACCGUAGCUUGCUACACCAUAAACUGUGAGUUGCGAACGGGUGAGUAACGCGUAGGUAACCUGCCUGGUAGCGGGGGAUAACUAUUGGAAACGAUAGCUAAUACCGCAUAAUAUUGAUUAUUGCAUGAUAAUUGAUUGAAAGAUGCUAUUGCAUCACUACCAGAUGGACCUGCGUUGUAUUAGCUAGUAGGUGAGGUAACGGCUCACCUAGGCGACGAUACAUAGCCGACCUGGGAGGGUGAUCGGCCAAACUGGGACUGAGACACGGCCCAGACUCCUACGGGAGGCAGCAGUAGGGAAUCUUCGGCAAUGGACGAAAGUCUGACCGAGCAACGCCGCGUGAGUGAAGAAGGUUUUCGGAUCGUAAAGCUCUGUUGUAAGAGAAGAACGGGUGUGAGAGUGGAAAGUUCACACUGUGACGGUAUCUUACCAGAAAGGGACGGCUAACUACGUG
Molecule: ribosomal RNA, 505 nt
Filed under: uncultured bacterium
Lineage: Bacteria
Description: partial 16S ribosomal RNA
Rfam family: Bacterial small subunit ribosomal RNA
Source: RNAcentral